Long non-coding RNA from Anastrepha obliqua, 872 nucleotides. RefSeq lists it as uncharacterized. NCBI's taxonomy places the organism in Eukaryota, Metazoa, Arthropoda, Insecta, Diptera, Tephritidae. The record is from RefSeq and is a predicted model, not a curated record. The transcript is spliced from 2 exons.
AAAUUUAAAUCUCAGUUAGUCAAUAUUAUUUGGGACAGCUAUUGCGAGAUUUCGUUAAUUCCAAAAUUACCAAAUGGAACCAGAAUUUAAAUUCCGAUUCUUAUCUAAGUGAUUAUUUACAAGCAAAAUAACGAGUGCAGAAAUUGAUUUAAAAACAUUUGUUCAUCGCAAAAGCAAAUACUGGCACACACACAUGGAUUUAUUCAACCAUAUUUCCAUACCCAUAUGUAUGUGCAAGUAUGUGUGUAUCUAUAUAUAAUAUAAAAUUUACGAUUGCAAAGCUCACAGCAAAUUCAAUUUGUAGACCGCUUAACAAUCGAGCGUUGCAUAAAAAUUCCAGUGGGCAGAUUGAAUACAAAAAUAUCUCUCUAAUUAAAUGAAUGCCAAUUAAGUGCUCUUUGUUGCAGUAAUUUUGCUCGAUUGCUUUGGAGUGUUUGCGUGUGCGAAUGGUGGACUGAAGUGUGCGAUUAGUGGUCAAUCCGAGUGGCGUCAGAUGGGCAAAUGGGCUUAACCAGCUCAAAAGUAACAAGGCGAGGCAACAAACAUUCGAUGAAUUUGGCUUUGUCUAUGCCGCUGAUGCUGGAUAAUAGCGUUCGCUGAUGGAGUUUGCGGAGGCUAGCGGUUGUUAUGAUAAGCAGCUCACGCGAAACAACCUUGGGAGGUGCCGGAUUUACAGCUGAAUUUGUGCUGUCAGUGAAUGACAGCAUCUGAAAAUCCGAAAGCACGAGUAGCUGUGUAUUUGACAGCUGUUGGGAAUCGACUAUACUUUAUAAUGCAUUGUUGUUUUUAAGGAAUCGCAAAAUAAAUCUUUCUUUAUUUCCAGACAUACAUACAUACAUACAAACGUACGUAUGUCUGCAUAUGUUUAUGAA